AUCGCUUCUCGGCCUUUUGGCUAAGAUCAAGUGUAGAGAUGUGGGUGGUUAAAUUAUCAAUUUAGAAACAAAGUUCUGAGCACUUGGGAGAAAUGUGAAGACCAUCUUUUUCCAAUGCCCCACCCAGUGUAGGAUUCACCCUUCACAAAUCUCUGUAUAUAGUCAUCCAGUCUUUGCUUGUAUAAUGGGGAACCUCC
Physeter macrocephalus (sperm whale) is the source of this 197-nucleotide small nuclear RNA. Its record names the gene U2. It matches the Rfam family "U2 spliceosomal RNA". From Rfam's summary of the family: U2 is a small nuclear RNA (snRNA) component of the spliceosome (involved in pre-mRNA splicing). Complementary binding between U2 snRNA (in an area lying towards the 5' end but 3' to hairpin I) and the branchpoint sequence (BPS) of the intron results the bulging out of an unpaired adenosine, on the BPS, which initiates a nucleophilic attack at the intronic 5' splice site, thus starting the first of two transesterification reactions that mediate splicing. NCBI's taxonomy places the organism in Eukaryota, Metazoa, Chordata, Mammalia, Artiodactyla, Physeteridae. The record is from Ensembl.